RNAcentral lists this ribosomal RNA (253 nucleotides) under uncultured bacterium. Its description in RNAcentral is "partial 16S ribosomal RNA". It matches the Rfam family "Bacterial small subunit ribosomal RNA", at positions 524 to 776 of the family's 1533-position model. The record is from RNAcentral.
UACAGAGGGGGCUAGCGUUGUUCGGAAUUACUGGGCGUAAAGGGCGCGUAGGCGGCCCGCUAAGUCGAACGUGAAAUCCCCGGGCUCAACCCGGGAACUGCGUCCGAUACUGGCAGGCUUGAAUCCGGGAGAGGGAUGUGGAAUUCCAGGUGUAGCGGUGAAAUGCGUAGAUAUUCGCAAGAACACCAGUGGCGAAGGCGGCUCACUGGCCCGAUACUGACGCUGAGGUGCGAAAGCGUGGGGAGCGAACAGG